UAAUACAUCGGACGUGUCCCGUAGUGGGGGAUAGCCCGGCGAAAGCCGGAUUAAUACCGCAUAUGCUCUACGGAGGAAAGUGGGGGACUCGCAAGGGCCUCACGCCAUGGGAGCGGCCGAUGUCCGAUUAGCUUGUUGGCGGGGUAAUGGCCCACCAAGGCGACGAUCGGUAGCUGGUCUGAGAGGAUGAUCAGCCACACUGGGACUGAGACACGGCCCAG
Molecule: ribosomal RNA, 221 nt
Filed under: uncultured bacterium
Lineage: Bacteria
Description: partial 16S ribosomal RNA
Rfam family: Bacterial small subunit ribosomal RNA
Source: RNAcentral